GGAGAGAUACCCAAGAGGCCGAAGGGGACGGUUUGCUAAACCGUUAGGGGGCGUCUUGCCCCGCGCGGGUUCGAAUCCCGCUCUCUCCGCCA
Molecule: transfer RNA, 92 nt
Filed under: Paludifilum halophilum
Lineage: Bacteria; Bacillati; Bacillota; Bacilli; Caryophanales; Thermoactinomycetaceae
Description: tRNA-Ser
Rfam family: tRNA
About the family: Transfer RNA (tRNA) molecules are approximately 80 nucleotides in length. Their secondary structure includes four short double-helical elements and three loops (D, anti-codon, and T loops). Further hydrogen bonds mediate the characteristic L-shaped molecular structure. tRNAs have two regions of fundamental functional importance: the anti-codon, which is responsible for specific mRNA codon recognition, and the 3' end, to which the tRNAs corresponding amino acid is attached (by aminoacyl-tRNA synthetases). tRNAs cope with the degeneracy of the genetic code in two manners: having more than one tRNA (with a specific anti-codon) for a particular amino acid; and 'wobble' base-pairing, i.e. permitting non-standard base-pairing at the 3rd anti-codon position.
Source: RNAcentral